UCGGGAGGGUUCAAGUCCCUUUAUCCCCAAAAGGCCCGUUUAACUCUCUA
This 50-nucleotide transfer RNA is filed under the name Acacia clydonophora. Its description in RNAcentral is "partial tRNA-Leu". The record is from RNAcentral. Lineage: Eukaryota; Viridiplantae; Streptophyta; Magnoliopsida; Fabales; Fabaceae.